Long non-coding RNA from Rhincodon typus (whale shark), 381 nucleotides. RefSeq lists it as uncharacterized. Lineage: Eukaryota; Metazoa; Chordata; Chondrichthyes; Orectolobiformes; Rhincodontidae. The record is from RefSeq and is a predicted model, not a curated record. The transcript is spliced from 3 exons.
CUCUUGCAUUUCAGAUUUUUUUUUUGUUAAUCAACAACCUGACUGAACAAAUUAAGAUAAAAGAACCCUGGGAGGAGAAAUAUCAGUCCAUAAAGAGAAAACAAGAAAUGAUUGCAAGGUGGUUGUGAUGUUGAAAGAUUGGUUCAGAGUUGCACAUCUAGAAAACUGUGGUGGAAGAUUAUCAAUAGGUGAAUAAAGAGGAACGAUAGAAGGAAGUUGCCAUACAAAGGGUUAGCAGAACAUGAACCAUUUGAUCAGAAACAACUACAGAGAUGGAAAUUACAAGUUAAAAGGGACUUGUGCUCGAAGCUCAGACACCAGUUCAUCACCCCUGAGACAGAAUUCCUCAAGCAAUGAACUCUUGCUGCAGAUAUAAAAACC